This 384-nucleotide unclassified non-coding RNA is filed under the name fungal sp. RNAcentral's name for it is "partial internal transcribed spacer region". The stretch from base 1 to 46 matches the Rfam family "Eukaryotic small subunit ribosomal RNA", at positions 1786 to 1831 of the family's 1831-position model. The record is from RNAcentral. Lineage: Eukaryota; Fungi.
AAGUCGUAACAAGGUUUCCGUAGGUGAACCUGCGGAAGGAUCAUUAACACGUAUCCACGUAUCACCAAUUGUGCAUUCGUUAUUUUCUCCCUGUGACUUCACAUGCAUUGGAACUUGUACGAGCUUUGAAUGGGACCUGCAAAGGCCAGCUCGGCAUGCUCACAUUUGACACGGCUUCGGCUGCGUCAGACAAUGGUAGUGUCGCACAGGUCACCUCCUCUCGCUCAAGCCCUUCAACUUGGGCGAGUAGGAAAUUCUACACAUCAAUCACCCCUUUUUGCUAGUUGACUUUUUUAAUGAUGGGUUAGUCAUUCAUUUGAUUUUCUCACACGUUUCUUAAUUGAACGUAAAAUACAACUCUUAGCAAUGGAUAUCUAGGUUCUC